UACGUAGGGUGCGAGCGUUGUCCGGAAUUAUUGGGCGUAAAGAGCUCGUAGGCGGUGUGUCGCGUCGGCCGUGAAAACCUGGGGCUCAACUCUGGGCGUGCGGUCGAUACGGGCAUCACUUGAGUUCGGCAGGAGAGACUGGAAUUCCUGGUGUAGCGGUGAAAUGCGCAGAUAUCAGGAGGAACACCGGUGGCGAAGGCGGGUCUCUGGGCCGACACUGACGCUGAGGCGCGAAAGCUAGGGGAGCGAACGGG
Molecule: ribosomal RNA, 254 nt
Filed under: uncultured bacterium
Lineage: Bacteria
Description: partial 16S ribosomal RNA
Rfam family: Bacterial small subunit ribosomal RNA
Source: RNAcentral